AUUGAACGCUGGCGGCAGGCCUAACACAUGCAAGUCGAGCGGAAGCAGGGAGCUUGCUCCUGAAUUCAGCGGCGGACGGGAGUGUAACGCCUAGACAUCUGCCUGGUAGUGGGGGAUAACGUCCGGAAACGGGCGAUAAUACCGUAUACGCCCUGAGGGAGAAAGUGGGGGCUCUUCGGAUCUCACGCUAUCAGCUGAGCCUAGGUCGGAUUAGCUAGUUGGUGGGGUAAAGGCCUACCAAGGCGACGAUCCGUAACUGGUCUGAGAGGAUGAUCAGUCACACUGGAACUGAGACACGGUCCAGACUCCUACGGGAGGCAGCAGUGGGGAAUAUUGGACAAUGGGCGAAAGCCUGAUCCAGCCAUGCCGCGUGUAGGAAGAAGGUCUUCGGAUUGUAAAGCGCUUUAGUUUGGAAGGAAGGGCAUUUAGUUAAUACCUGGCUGUUUUGACGUUACCAACAGAAUAAGCACCGGCUAACUACGUG
This 484-nucleotide ribosomal RNA is filed under the name uncultured bacterium. Its description in RNAcentral is "partial 16S ribosomal RNA". It matches the Rfam family "Bacterial small subunit ribosomal RNA", at positions 30 to 507 of the family's 1533-position model. The record is from RNAcentral.